AAUUAUGUAUUUUAUUUUUUAAAAAAGAAGCACACUGUAAAAUAGCUUUGUAACCUUCAAAAAAGGAAGGUUUCAUGUACUACGUCUCAAACUUUUCUCUAUACCAAUAAGUAUUCUUUGAUAACUCUUUUUAACAGCUGCAUAGUAUUCCAUUGUAGGUAAAUGUCUGCACAUAACUUUAAUAAUUUCCAAGUGAAAUUGCUGAGUCAAAGGUGAUUAUUUAAUAAUUUGUUUCUAAAUUGACAUCCAAAAGGAUUGAUACUAUUAGGGUUACCCUGGGGCCUUGGGCUAAAGCACCAAUGGCCAACACCUCUACAAUCUUACCUGUGCUGAGCCUUUUCCUUCCCCUCUUUCCCUCUUUCGAAGUCAUUCCUCCUUCGUCUUAGGCCUUUCUUCCCAACCUCCUUAUGCUUUAGGGCCAAUUCUUUCAAAACACCCCCCAUUUCUGUUCAAAUUACUUCUGCUUUCACAUUCCUUCUUGGAAGUUAACCUUGACUCUCACCCUUCAAGGCCUUUACUCUCCUUCAUCCCUGUUACUGCACUGGGCACACUGUAUUGCAGUUGAUUAUAUCCGGCUCCAGUUCAUCCAUCACCAUGUGCUUCUAAGAGCAGGAGUAACAAAUAUAACAAAAAUGAUAAAAUGGGGAGUUCCCAUUGUGAUGCAGUGGAAACGAACCCAACUAGUAUCCAUGAAGAUGCGGGUUCGAUCCAUGGCCUCGCUCAGUAGGUUGAGGAUCUGGCAUUGCUGUGAGCUGUGGUAUAGGCUGGCAGCUGCAGCUCUGAUUCGACCCACAGCAUGGGAACUUCCAAAUGCCACAGGUUCAGCCCUAAAAAAAAAAAAAAAAAAAAAAAAAAAGAUAAAAUGAGUCACAGUUGUCAUGUAAGAGCCUCUCUUCUGUGCCAGGAAUCAAGCAAGGCUCUCCCCACAACAACCAUAGCUUGUUUGUCUCUGCAUCCCCAGCGCUCACUACAGCUCCUGGCAAAGUGCAAGUGUGCUCAGGACAUAUUUGUUGAGUCAGUGACAGAAUGCAGUGCUUCUGGGAGCAAGUCAAAGGAGAAGGCUGCUCAUUUUGCCCCAAACAAGCAUAUCUGUUCACUCGGAUAAUACAUGACCUUUGGAGGAAAAAAAAAAAAAAAAAAAAAAAAAAAAACUUUCUCAAUUCAUGUUUCAUAGAGCAGCCGCCAGUGUGAUCUUUUUACAUUUUUAAAUCAGAUCUUGCCACCCCCUGCUUCAAAUCUCUCAGUGGCUUCCCACUGCACUGUGAAUAAAACCCAAACCACCUACUGUGGUCUCUCUAAGCCAACCGCUCUUUCUUCACUGGCCUCAUCUCCUACUCUGUUCUCUCUUCUUUCGCAAGACUCAAGGUAUACUGAUCCUCUAUUUAAAAAAAAAAAAAAAAAAAAAAAAAGAGUUCUUGGAGUUCCCUCUCUGAUGCAAUGGGAUGGACCAUGUCUCUGCAGUGGCACAGGUUUGAUCCCUGGUAGGGUGCAGUGGGUUAAGGAUCCAGUGUUGCAGCUGCAGUGUAGGUGUAACUGUGGCUCAGAUCUAAUCCCUGGCAGGGGAACUCUGUACGCUAUGGGGUGACCAAAGAAGAAAAAGAAAAAUGAGCUCUUACUAUGUACACUGAACUGAGUUUUUCAUGUGUUAUCUCACUUAAUCGUCCCAACAAUUUUAUUAGGUAGUUACUAUUAUGGUUUCCAUGUGAGAGAUGCUGGACAUGAAACACGGCGGUCUUGUCCAAGGUCACACCAUUCGCAGUGGCAGAGCUGGGGUUCAAAGCUUGAACCCUCAGCCAGUGUAUCCUGAGCUUCCUCCUUCUAGAUCACACCACCUUUGUUCUCAGGGGGUUGGGGAUUGGGGCUUUCUCUGCUGGCACGCUCUUGGCCAGUCCCUCCCAGGCUUGCCUUCUCUUCCUUAGAUCUCGGGACAAACCCCACCUCCCAAGGGAGACAGCCACUGGUGACUGGACUUAGAAUAACCCACAGGCAUUCUCUCCCAUGUGACCCUACUUUAAUUUUUUGCAUUCACGUAGCAGUCGGAUAUUCCUCUGUUUAUUUUACUCAUUUAUUGUCUGACUCCUUGCACUCGGAAUGUAAGUGCCACAAGGAUAUUGUCUGUCUAGUGCCAUAUAUUCAUACCUCAACCAGUGUCUGACACAUGACAAAGCUCCAUAAAUGUUUGCUUUUUCUUUUUUUGUCUUUUUAGGGCUGCACAUGCAGCAUAUGGAGAUUCCCAUGCUAGAGGUCAGAUUGGAGCUGUAGCUGCUGGCCACGGCCACAGCCACAGCCACGCCAAAUCCCAGCCACAUCUGUGACCUACACCACAGCUCACAGCAACACCGGAUCUGUAACCCACUGAGCGAAGCCAGGGAUCGAACCUGUGUCCUCAUGGAUGCUAGUCAGAUUUGUUUCUGCUGAGCCACAACGGGAACUCCCCAAAUGUUUGGGUUUUUUUGUGAGUUUUGUUUUGUUUUGUUUUUGGCCACCCCUGAAGCAUGUAGAAGUUGCCAGGCCAGUAAUCAAACCUGCACCAUUGCAGCAACUCAAGCCAUUUCAGUGACAAUGCCGGAUUCUUAAUCCGCUGCAUCACAAGAGAACUCCUUCUCCAUAAAUGUUUACUGACUGGUGAGUCCCUCGACUUUGUCGCAGUAAGAGUAAUCAUAGCAGUUGCAGGGAUGAGCAUUUGCUGAGCAAUGGACUAUGUGCCUGCCCAACCCUGUGUUAAUCAUCUUCCAUAUCCAUUUCCUCUAAACAGGCACAGUGCCCCGCACUGCGAGGCAGAGUAUCACACUCAUUUUACAGAUAAGGAAACUGAGCUUCACAGAAAUUAAAUAACUCGCCCAGGAUCACAAAGCUACCAAAGCCGAGGAGCUCAAAUCUAAACCCAAUUCUGACCCCCCACAUCGGUGCUCUUUCCACUCAGCUGUGCUGUGCCCUUUAUGGUCUAAUUCAAAAUCGGCUGUAGCUGACGCUCCAGUUAACAUCGAUGGCUCUGCUUCUCUCCCAAACUCAGAACCAAACCCCACUGAAUGUCCAGGCAAUUGUCCCACACCCCCUCCCUCCAGACACUCAAUGUGUUUACAACCCAACUCUCCACCUUUCCCACAAAACUCAGCUCUCCUUUGAGAAAUCUUACUCUCUGUUCACGCUACUAUUAGUUACCCAGGCAUCCAGGGCCUCUCAAAAUUCUGGUGAUAUUUUGAUCAUCCUCAGUCUUAAAAUAGAGCCCAAAUUCCUAAACAUGGUUUUGACCAUUUGCCAAAAUUUAACCCCUAACUGCCUCACCUGCAUCACUCUCUCUUCCUCACCCUAGACAUAGGCCUUCUUUCCAUUUCUCCAAUUGGCCAUGGUCCUACCCCAGUACCUUUGCACAUGCUGUCCCUUCUGCCUCGGUGUCCAGCCUUUCCUCUUCCCUUAGGUCAUUCUACAUAUCCUUCAGAAUCUAGCACAUCACUUGUUCAAGGAGGCCUUCCAGAUCUCCAGGCUUGUUCUUCUCUGAGGCACUUACUGUAACUGCAAUUAAGUGGUUGGAUGUGUAACAAUUCCUGAAGUGUCUGAUUUUCUACCAGGCUGAAGGCAUGAAAAAGGUGAAGGCUGGGUCUGCCUCGUUCAAUGCCACAUCCCCAGUUGUGUCACAUGUUGUAGGAGCUCAGUACACAUUUGUUCUUCUCUCACAUCUAAUGAGUUUGCUUGGUCAACUCCAUCUUUAUCAUGUCUGUUUCUCCCAACAGAAUGUAAGCUCCGAGAGCAGGGAUUUUUUGUUUUGUUUUGUUUUAUUCACUCCUGGUUCUCUAGCACCCAAACAAUCAUUAAAUGAAUAUAUCCAUAACUUCCUUUCUAUUUCUAAGGCCCCUGCCCUACACAUCUCAGCAGAACACCAGCUAUGACUCCCCACUGGGCUUCUAGAUUCCAGAGCCAGGGAGCGGAAUUGCUGACCAGACCAGCAGAGGGAGUGACAGACGUCAUCCCAGUGACCUUGACUUGAGUUUCCUCCUUGGGGGCCUUGGAAUCUGUGCAACAUUGUGAGACCUUCUCAUCAUGUUGUUAUCGUCUAAUGAAAACUCAUUAUAAAAUAUGGAAUUCU
RNAcentral lists this long non-coding RNA (4084 nucleotides) under Sus scrofa (pig). RNAcentral's name for it is "lncRNA (ENSSSCG00000054853.1)". Lineage: Eukaryota; Metazoa; Chordata; Mammalia; Artiodactyla; Suidae. The record is from RNAcentral.